CUUAAUAUGGAAAUCUGACCGUGAUUUAUCCAGUCAUAUAUCAUGCUAUUAGUACAUUUUAAUUAAUUUAAUUAAUUAAAUAAAACCAGUAUAAUUACCACUUGAGUAGAUAUUUCAUCCGAUUGGUAGAUAGUCUCAGGAACUUAUUUGGAUGUCUGUAGGUGCAUGAGUUAUGGUAAAAGGUGGUGUUGGUUAGAAAGUCAGUUAAAAUUCUAAGUGUUAGAGUUUUAAGAGUAGAGUGUUAGUCUCAGAUGUUGUCCUGGGUUUCUCUGCAUGUCCGAGUUGGAGUCCCCAAACUUCCAAUUCCUCUCUCCCUUUUUCCUUCUCUCAACUCUCUUUGUCUUAACUUUUAAAGGGAAAAUUCACUAGUUGCUAGACCAAUAGAAACACUGGGGGUGUGGUUAUCUUCCAGAUCGCAAUUUAGUUAUUUAAUCUAUAUAGGGCAGUCUUGUCCCACUAAACAUACCUAUCCAGGAAAGAGUUAACUUUUCUUGGUGGCUAUUCUGACGUCAUUUCUGCCAUAACUUACUUUUCCUUUCACUUCAAAGGGUUUUCUCUUAGUUUUGUCCAGACUUAGUGUCCGCAAUUCCUGCUAUAAUUUCUGAUAUGGCAGUUCAUGAACUAAGUUUCACCUUAAAUUUACAAUGGGGUCUUGUACAUAUAAAUUUUAUUAUUUAAUCUUCUCUGUCACAAAUGUCUGGGUUUAGAAUUGAUUAUAUUCCAUUAGCAUUUUAGACAGUCUAUCCAACCCCCGUUCUCCUUAUCACUUGGUUUGUAUAUACUAUGCAUUCCUUUCCUGCUCUGGGAAAGUGGUUAGUUUUACAGAGAGAAAUCUUGUGUCAUUUUGUUAGCUUGAAAAUAACAAAAUGGAGUCUGCUCUGUUCAAAAGUGACUCCGCAUAUACACUUUUAAUUUCUAUCAUAGCACAAGAUGUCUUCCGAUAUAAAUACCCUGACAGCCCCCCAGUCGAUUUAUAUAGCGAACUGCCGACACAUUGUCCAUGCGAAGGAGGAUGCAGCAGUUGGAUCUCUUCCGAGCAAGGCUGCCGAUCGCAAAGGAGCCCGCCAGUAGUUCCAGACAAUUUAUGUGCAUCGUGAGCUCCUGCGUUGUCCACACACCCCCUGUGGACAUUGUUCCGCUGGUCGCACCCCAGCCCCAUAAGCUGGCGUCAGACUCCAGGAUAACGUCCGGUGUGUCUCUCUAAAUAUGGCCUUGCCGUCCCAGGCUUGCAUGCUGUCUAGCCACCAAAUCAGUUCCUGGCGAACUUCCGGUGUCACCGAUACGGGCUGGUCAUAUGUGGGCUUCUGACGGAGACACUUUGUCUUGAGGUGUUGGAUCGCUCUGUAGUGCAGGGGGCCCAGAAAUGGCUCUUGCGACCCAUUUUUGACUCUCCACAAGUUUAAAGGGAUAAUCCAGACGUGGACCCCUUGCUCACGGUGCCUAGGGAGAUAUCAGCUAUGCCUCACUGAUGAUGCCUAACAAGGCUGAAACGAUCGUCUGGGGUUGCUGUAUCUCUCGUGCAGAGAGAACUUGCUGGUAUUUCGGAUCUGGACUGCCCAUGUGGGUGGGACCAGUCUGAUAUGCUUCAGAUAUGUUCUCUCUGUAAUGGCACAAGAUGAGUAAAAAUCAGCUUGAGAACUGAGCGGGGACCGACCGAAGGGCAGGCUAUUUCAGCUGCUGCCCGUUCUCAGUAUUCUCUUGCGACCCAUUUUUGACUCUCCACAAGUUUAAAGGGAUAAUCCAGACGUGGACCCCUUGCUCACGGUGCCUAGGGAGAUAUCAGCUAUGCCUCACUGAUGAUGCCUAACAAGGCUGAAACGAUCGUCUUGGGGUUGCUGUAUCUCUCGUGCAGAGAGAACUUGCUGGUAUUUCGGAUCUGAACUGCCCAUAUGGGUGGGACCAGUCUGAUAUGCUUCAGAUAUGUUCUCUCUGUAAUGGCACAAGAUGAGCAAAAAUCAGCUUGAGAACUGAGCGGGGACCGACCGAAGGGCAGGCUAUUUCAGCUGCUGCCCGUCCUCAGUAUUCUCUUGUGACCCAUUUUUGACUCUCCACAAGUUUAAAGGGAUAAUCCAGACGUGGACCCCUUGCUCACGGUGCCUAGGGAGAUAUCAGCUAUGCCUCACUGAUGAUGCCUAACAAGGCUGAAACGAUCGUCUGGGGUUGCUGUAUCUCUCGUGCAGAGAGAACUUGCUGGUAUUUCGGAUCUGGACUGCCCAUAUGGGUUGGACCAAUCUGAUAUGCUUCAGAUAUGUUCUCUCUGUAAUGGCACAAGAUGAGCAAAAAUCAGCUUGAGAACUGAGCGGGGACCGACCGAAGGGCAGGCUAUUUUAGCUGCUGCCCGUCCUCAGUAUUCUCUUACGACCCAUUUUUGAUGGCCCAGAAAUAUAGCCUGUAUGGAUGCGGAAAGGUGUCCCACGAUUCUGGCCAAGUUGCGCAGAGGGAUGGACUCGCAGCGGAGGACCCUGCGGAUCUCCUUCUGAAUAGACGAGAUCUUUGAUGGUAGUCUCAGUGCAGGACGUGGAAUCGAUAUCGAAUCCUAGAAAUUGAAUCGACCGAGAUGGACUCAUUGCCGAUUUUGUUCGGUUUACGACGAAACCCAGGGAUUCCAACAGUUCCACGGUGAAACAAGUGUGUUCUCACCGUCUGAACUCCUCGGAGCAGAAGAGAAGAAUGUCGUCCAGGUAGAUAAUGCAGCGGAUGCCCCUGGAGCCUAGGUGGGCAAUCACCGGUUUUAGGAGCUUGGUGAAACACCAUGGGGCAGAGCUGAGUCCAAAAGGGAGGCAGGUGAAUUGCCACGGUAGGCCGUGCCAUAGGAAUCGCAGGAGUGGACAACAGUCCGGGUGCACCGGGACUGACAGGUAGGCGUCCUUUAGGUUUAGCCUUGUGAACCAGUCGUGGUCUCGGAGGAGGUCCCGAAGGAGAUGGAUGUCCUCCAUUUUGAAGUGGCGAUACAUGACGUGUGCGUUGAGGUCUCGCAAAUUGAUUACUGGUCAGAAUUCACCCGUCUUUUUCCGGACCAGAAAAUAUUGCUGAAGAAACCUCAGAAAUCGAUGGCCAGUUGGAUGGCCCCUUUGUCCCGCAGUUCCUGGAGUUCCACGUCGAUGAGACGGCGGUCAUGGGCCGAGAAGUAAAUAGGGCGUGGUAGAGCACCCUGCGCUGGGGUUCCCACGAGGUCUAUUCGGUAUCCCUCAACUGUCUGCAGGAUCCACAAAUCCGAGGAAAGAUCUGCCCAAUUCUGGAAAAAAAGGGAAAUACGGCCCACAGUGCGGGUGGUUAAACUGUAGGGAGCAUGUAUGCCUACCUGGGGUGAAGCGGGAACGUCUACGUCCGCGACCUCUAGUCGAGCCUCUUGCGUAGGAGAACUGUGGCCUGUAAUCCCUUGCUGGGUAGAAUGGUGGAGGUUGGGUGGAGCGGGGGCCUGGUGGCACGGUGGCACGACCCCUCUGUCGACCAGCCCUUCCAAAAAAAAAAAACCCUCAUGGGGUUACCUCUGAAGACUUUGCACAUAGAGGAUUGCGCUUUGUUGAGGGACGUAAAUACGUUAUAUUCUUAUUCAGUUCCUUGAGGAACGCUUCUCCAAACAACAUUCCUUGUGCCUGGGGCCCUAUUUCCUUAGUGCCCAGUUCUGACAAUUUUCCGUCUAUGCGGAAUACAGGGAGUGCAGAAUUAUUAGGCAAGUUGUAUUUUUGAGGAUUAAUUUUAUUAUUGAACAACAACCAUGUUCUCAAUGAACCCAAAAAACUCAUUAAUAUCAAAGCUGA
Pelobates cultripes (western spadefoot toad) is the source of this 3761-nucleotide non-coding RNA. The record is from the annotation of a GenBank genome assembly. Lineage: Eukaryota; Metazoa; Chordata; Amphibia; Anura; Pelobatidae.